This 878-nucleotide long non-coding RNA is filed under the name Lynx pardinus (Iberian lynx). Lineage: Eukaryota; Metazoa; Chordata; Mammalia; Carnivora; Felidae. The record is from RNAcentral.
ACAGAUAUAUAUUGCUUACAAUUGACUGAAAGCUGACCCACAUGAAGAUACACGAUUUACAGGUAGUGCAUCCUUGCUCUUGGGCAGUGCUUUUUUCAGACGCUGCCAAUGAUAUGAAGCCUGUGACUUUCUGGGGAGGCUGGUCCUCAAUUCCUCCUGCACAGGUUUGGUCCUGGUGGAGUUCUUUCAAAGUGUGUAAACUGUACUUCAAUUAAAGAAGUCUGCAGGGCACAUAGAGCAGAUGAACAGGAAGUGCUUUGGGACUUCUCUUGACAAGACUCUGGCAGGUGGGAAGCCCACAUGUGAAGCAGGCUUUUGAAAAUGCUGUAUGGGAGCAAAUAUUUAACAUACCAGGGGAUUGGGAAGUAAUGUUUAUUUCUCAUUAUGUUUCCCAUUUUCUCUCCCAUCUCUGAAAGGAAGUACUUAUGACUCCAAAUAAUAGAAAGAAUCCAACACUUUCAGUUCCGAGUGGUUGCAAAAUCCAAACUUGGUGCUUUUAAACAGCUGUCAAGAGGAAAGGCAGGGGUUAUUAACAAACUGGUACCAUCUUUACUAAACUGAAAUACUGACUGCAUUCAUUUUGGCUCAGGUUGUUCUUGGAAGCUUUAAAAAAUCCCAGUGAGAGUCUUUCAGUUUUGUUAGUGCAGAUGAUUUUCUGUUGGCUUUUGCUUAACUUCAGCUGACUUUCAUGUAAAUGUACCACAGACAGGGGCUUAAAAUAGCCAGAUGGUCACUGCAAAAUGUUGUUGUGGCUUGUACUUCCCCUUUCUCUCACCCUUUCCAUACGCUGCAAUCCCAGUACUAUGGGAUUGGGACAGACGGGUGAAUUGUUUUGUUCGAUGUUCUGGCUACUUUACCAACUUAAAAAUAAGGGAAUU